Molecule: long non-coding RNA, 497 nt
Organism: Neoarius graeffei (lesser salmon catfish)
Lineage: Eukaryota; Metazoa; Chordata; Actinopteri; Siluriformes; Ariidae
Exons: 3
Source: RefSeq, a predicted model, not a curated record
GAAAGACUUCAGGAACCAAAAAAAGGACCUCGGUCGAAGCUGCAACGGGAGGCCAAGGAAGAACCCCUUCGAUAUUCUGGACUCAGUCCUCAGCGAUAGACCGGCAAAUAACGCCACCGGAGCCUUAAAUUCAGCGACGGCGAUGCUGGAGGCGAUGGCGCCGCAAUCAGAGCCUGAGUUGUUCACCAUCGGGGACGAGGACCUGAUGUCUCCACGCCACUGCAGCUCUCCUGCAUCAUCCAGCAGCUCAGGACAAUCGCCGCAGACCAGACCUGCUAAGAGGAAGUGAGACAGCAACACUGAGCUCCUGGAAUACCUUGAGCGGGUGGACGAGAGGUUCCUGCAGCACAGCAAGGAAAUGAACGAUGCCUUGCUGCACAAGCUGGAAGCAGACAACAGUGCGUUCCUCAGUAUGAUGGGGCGCAUGGUGUCUGUAAUGGAGGCGCAAGCCAGAAAAUAAUCACACCACUUUUCUUGUUUUGCACCUUUGCACUGUU